ACGAAACAUUGUCAACCACCUUCAAACAAAUGUUUUAUUGUUGAAGUUUUGAGUCGUCGAGUUGCAGAGGCAUAACAAUCUGUUUUAUUUUUCACGCAUACUAUAUGUAUUAUCAGUUGCUUGACAUAAUAACUCCUCCUUACAUACGAUAAAUAGCAUGGACCAUUUAUGUUUUAAGAACACUGAUUUGAACCACAUUGUUAAUAUAAUACCACUACAUAUUUAUAAAAUAUAAAUCAAUUAGAUUUCGUUACUCUCUUGGUCAUCAAUAUUUCGAAUAGAAAUAAAUAUUUGGUUAUAUCCACUUAAGUUUAUACCGAUGAGAAUAUUUCAUUAUAAUAUAAAAUGAAUUCUAUCUUUACCUGAAUAUUUAUAAAUUUAUCAUAUAUAUCCCACUUACUCCUAAAGCUUUCACAUUAAGCACUUUAUGAACCUAGAGAGAACUAGUACAAUGAAGCGAUGUUGCCACAAUUAAUACUCGCUUCUCUAAUUUGCAGUGUUUUAGACUUGGUAAAGUAAGAAUAUAGAGGUAGAACGUGUAUUUCGAGUGGAUUCGUUUUUUAAAUCAAAUUUACCAAAUUUUGGGGUAGAAUUCUUAAUUUAUACAGGUGCUUCCAACGUGCUUAGGAAUUGUACAUUGGAAGGUAAGACCUCGUUAAUCUUGAUAGCUCCGGAGGGUUGUCGUUUUUAUAGGGGUGACAGACGAUUAACAGAAAAACACAAUUGGGAGAAGCAGCUUUUCUAGUAGCAUUUACCACUGGUUUGUUACAAAUGGGUUUUUUAUUUAUUUGGAACACAAAAUUGAAAUAUUUCAUUCCUGGUGAUCGUUCGGAAAAGAUGCUAUUUGCAAACCCCAGAGGGAGGUAAAUAAGUUGAGAAUAUAAAAAAUAAUAUAAUGGAAAAUCCACCCAGUACAACACAGUAUUGAGAUAUGUUCUUCAGGAAGUCCAUUUAUCAGGGUAAGAAAACCGAGAAUAACAUAACCUAAUCCAAGAAUAACAAUUUCAUAGGUUUAUGAAGUCAAUUUUCUAUGAGAUGAAUUUUAAAAUUUUCAACCCCAUUUCCACCCCUGCCGGGAGCCUUGAAAACCCAGUCGUGAUGUUUAUUUUGUUGAAUCGACAUAUCUGUUAUACCCCUAUUCAACUAACAUAACCAUUGUUGAUGAUGAUGUCAGAUCCAAUGAUCGGACUUCAUUGCUGCUUAAGGAGUGUGGUAGUCGUCGGAAGUACAAAAACAAAAAUUACUCUAUCCUCGACGUAAGGUCAUUCAGAUAUAUUCGAGAUUCAGCAAGCACAUGUCAUAAUUGUUAGCAUGACGAUGGAUUCAUAAGAAGGGACAUCAUGCUUUAGACUGAUGAUGGAUGAUGGAGUGGACAUUCUUCAAACGUCAUUAUAUUCACCUGCAGUACCAAACUUCAUCCAAGAGUCUGACAGUCCAACCCUAUAUAAUUUGUUUAAUUAAUUGCUUAUAAAUGAUAAUUUACUCGAGCAUGUUGUCUUCCUAGAAUGCGUAUGCGCCUCAAAUAGUUGAGUGUACCACCAACUGUAACCAAUAUCGAUUAUAAUUGGUAGUGAAAAGAAAAUUUGAAUCAUGUUUUGCAAUUGUUGAAAUAUAUGGAAAUAUGCACUGCUUCUGAACCCCAACUGGCGGGAUACAAAUACUAACACAAACAUUGUUUCUGAUAUAGACAUUUGUACAUAAUUAUUUUCCAAUGAUUUAUAUAGAAUAGAAUAUUUGAAUAAUAACAUUUUUUUA
Leptinotarsa decemlineata (Colorado potato beetle) is the source of this 1755-nucleotide long non-coding RNA. Lineage: Eukaryota; Metazoa; Arthropoda; Insecta; Coleoptera; Chrysomelidae. The record is from RefSeq and is a predicted model, not a curated record.